RNA transcript from Chenopodium quinoa (quinoa), 1247 nucleotides. It is a transcript of the gene named 26S proteasome non-ATPase regulatory subunit 10-like, with no coding region annotated. NCBI's taxonomy places the organism in Eukaryota, Viridiplantae, Streptophyta, Magnoliopsida, Caryophyllales, Amaranthaceae. The transcript is spliced from 6 exons. The record is from RefSeq and is a predicted model, not a curated record.
AUUAGGUCAAAUUUUAAACCUUAGCGAGUUAAUUUCGAAUUAAAAAGUACAAAAAAAAGAAGAGGAAACAGAAAUAGUGAUCUUCAACUGAAAAUGGAGAUGGAGACAGACGCUUCAAAUGACACAGAAAUCACCUCAACCCAACUCUUCAAAGCCGCCGAAUCCGGCGACGCUUCCCUCUUCAACUCUCUCUCCAAAACCCAACCCUCCAAAUUUCUCUCUCUUCAAAAUGACGACGCUCGCUCGCUCCUCCAUGUCGCCGCUUCCUCUGCACAUUCCAAGGUGGUUGAAAUUCUAGCUGAAGCUGAUUCAACAGGGAAAGUGAUUAAUAACAAGGAUGAAGAAGGGUGGGCCCCAAUUCAUUCUGCUUGUAGUAUUGGAAAUCUUGACAUCCUCCAAAUUCUCCUUACUAAAGGAGCUGAUGUUAACUUGAAAAAUGAUGGUGGUCGAACUGCUCUUCACUAUGCUGCUAGCAAGGGAUGGGUGAAGGUUGCUGAGUUGUUGCUUGCCCAUGGUGCAAACAUCAAUGCUAAGGACAAGGUUGGAUGCACACCACUGCAUCGUGCAGCUAGCACAGGGAACUCAGAGUUGUGUGAACUCCUCAUUGAAGAAGGAGCAGAGAUUGAUGCCCUUGACAGAGCUGAUCAAACUCCUCUAAUGACUGCUGUCAUUUGUGAAGACAGACAGGUUGCACUUCUUCUAGUAAGACAUGGAGCCGAUGUGGAUAUUGAAGACAAAGAAGGUUAUACAGUCUUAGGUCGCUCCCCAAAGGAUCUUAGGGAUGCUAUUAUUGAUGCUGCAAAAGCCAUGAUGGAAGGCUAAACCAUAAGAUGAUGUGGUUACAAACUUGACAAGGGUAACUCCCUCCUAAGUGUUUUUGGCAUGCUAAGGUUGCAUUAAAACCUUGACUGUACAGAAGGGAGUAAACCAAGUUUUCAAUUGAACUUCAGAGGUGAACAUUUGCAGUGUUGUAUCAGUCAAGUGGUUUUGAAAUAUUCAGGCAUUGUCAAAUCGAUUUCAUCCUCAAGAAGGAAGCUUUUUCAUAUUAAGGAGACUAAUGCUCACCGAGAGUUGAUAUUAUUUCUUUUGUUGUGAUUCCAUUGUAUUCUGCUUGGCAAUUACCAUGGGAUAGAUGAAGAUGCAUAUUCCUUCAUCGAAUAAAUGAGUGUAAAAAAGAGUGUGCCCUUACGUUUGACAAUUGUCUCAUAUUUGGUAUACACAAUAACACAAGUUCUUACAAUUUAUAA